Molecule: regulatory RNA element, 144 nt
Rfam family: Ribosomal protein L10 leader
About the family: This family is a putative r-protein leader autoregulatory structure found in B. subtilis and other low-GC Gram-positive bacteria. It is located in the 5' untranslated regions of mRNAs encoding ribosomal proteins L10 and L12 (rplJ-rplL).
Source: Rfam
CACUCGGUUAUAUUUCUACCUAAGACUCAGGUGGCUUUGCCUUAAUUGUUUACUUUGUAAACUGCCCGCCGAGGAGAAAGUUUGUACGAUUAGCAAACUCUCAGCGGCGUUGUGUCUUUGACACAACGUUUUUUGAUUAGGAGA